Long non-coding RNA from Ixodes scapularis (black-legged tick), 579 nucleotides. RefSeq lists it as uncharacterized. The record is from RefSeq and is a predicted model, not a curated record. The transcript is spliced from 4 exons. NCBI's taxonomy places the organism in Eukaryota, Metazoa, Arthropoda, Arachnida, Ixodida, Ixodidae.
UCUUCUUCUACCCUUAGUCACUGGCAGGGACAAGGGACGUCCAAAUUACUGCAUCUGGUCAGCUCGACGCAACCUACAUGGUUGGACCAGCCAUACAAAGCAUUGCGUCAGACACCAGUGUGGCUUCCAGCUGCGCCUGUUUUGUUCCUCGUGCGUCUGUUGGUACACAGACAGAUCCUGCAGACACAGGCACACAAGAAGGCAAUACAACAGUGCCCUGCCCCAGCACUCCAGGUUCAAUCGCCAUCUCCAGUCCGAAGGACAACCCCCCAAUUGCAGGCCCAGGACAGCCGUCCUCGCAGUUCAACUCGCAUACCACUUGAUGGUGAGGUAAGUGUCAGCAAUGUGCUGGAUAGGCCUUCUUAUGCAGGCAACAGUAAUGAUCCAGAGGACAGACGAGAUGGCCCAAGGGACUCUGACAGCAAGACAAACUCAGAUGACUCAGGUAGCUGUGACAGCGACACCAGCACCAAUGUGGAGGAUGAGUCAGCUGAGGACAGCAGUGACUCGGACAAGGAGAAGGACGGCAUGGAGGAGAGCGAUGCUCCUGGUGACACCAGCUAUGCACCCUCCACAAAU